AGCACACGGUACUUCCCUAGUCCCCACUGUCUAUUGUCAUAGAGAAUACUUCGUAGUGUCUCAUCAUUGUUGUCCAAAUGCGCUAGAGAUACUAGUCUGCCAAUGAAAGACAACAUUGAAUUGCAUUUGCAAUGGAAUGUGGAUGUGCACUAUGCUCUGGAUUUACCGAAGUGGUGGUGUAAAGCAUUAGGCAUCUGGCCAUGGCAGCGCAACAUUUUCUGUAUCGUGCAAACCAGUACUAUUAUUCUCAUUGCGAUGACUACCGUGAUAUUAUCGUCAACCCAACUACUGAUUAAAGGCAACUGCGGAGAGGUAACUGAUUUACUAGAAAUCCUAUCCGGUAUCAUAGUCUUUUCCGAGACAGCUUUUAAAAUUAUUUCCCUUUGGCUUGGUCAACAACAAAUGCGUUAUAUUAUUUCAUCGAUCAUUGACGAUUGGUCAAAUGCUACUCGACAAGAAUCACGUGAUAUUAUGUAUCGGCAUACAUACUGGGGACGUGUAGCUUUUAUCUUGCAAACUACAGGUGCACUUGGAGCUAUGUUCCUGGCAGUGUGGAUUGACCGUCCAAGUAUAACCAGAGAGAUUUCAGGAAAUUAUAGUUCAAGAAACAUGUUAUUGGCACCUUCGUGUUGGAUACCAGCCACAAUGUCUCUUAAUGUUUAUUUACUUUAUUACAAUUUGGUUUUCGUUAUGGUAUUCUGGGCAGUAUUGACAUAUGCAGGCUGUGAUGCAUUUAUGUUUAAUGCUACUUUGCAUAUUUGUAGUCAGUUCGAAAUACUCGAGGCCGAUAUUCAAAAACUCAGUGAUGAAGAUGAUUAUUCAAUACAGAAAUAUAAAAUUAAAAAAUACUCAAAGAGACAUAAUCAAUUAAUUGAGCUUGGGCACCAUAUGGAUGCCUUAGUCAGUGGUAUUAUCCUGUCGGAACUUCUGAGCAAUACUGCUAUCAUUUGUGCCUCAGGAAUUUCACUUCUUAUUAACGUUAAAUCAGGUAAUGUGGACCGAAUAGUGAUAAGCUGCGCAGCAAGAGUAUAUGUUUGGUACAUGCAAUUCUUCAUGUACUGCUAUGUUGGUGAAAAAUUGUCAAGUUACGCUAAUCGAUUGCGGAAUGCCGUCUACAAUUGUUCGUGGUGCAAUAUGUCAAAAGAUAUUGCUAGAGAUAUGAAAUUUAUGAUAAUGCGUAACCAUAACUUCUGUCAGUUGACAGGGGGUAAAAUCAUCAUCAUGAAUCAUCAAAGUUUUGCGAAAAUCACUAAAAUUAUAUUUUCCUUUUUUUCGAUUCUCAGAUUCAUGAUUGAAUCAAAUGGGUAAGAAUAUUUUUUUAUGUAAUUAUUGGUCGUUAUUAUGACUUUUUUAAAUUCUCUCUGAUUGAGUAAGAACAAUAUGGAAUUAUUGGGAUGUAAUUAGUGCAUUUUCCUUGACGAGCGCCUAACAACUUACUACAGUUAAAAAUCCAAACGAAACAUUCGAUUAUCGUUUCCCGAAUGAUGUCGACCCGGUGUUAUCAUCAAAGCUUGGAAUGAGCAUUGGACCAAUCUUGUUUGUCACACUACCUGAUAAUCACACAUUUGUGUCUGGCCUGAAAUACAAUAACAAUCCCCCGCCACGUGGGAAUCAUCGAAGGUGAGCCCAGGCACCGAUGAUUUCCUUCUUUCCAUAAGUGCAGGGAAGCUCACGCGUUCACGGUGUAUAGCUCCUGGAGCAAAUGUGACAGGAUGUUAAUGGAUAAACAGCCGACACAUGUGCUGCUGGGGACGCUGAACCCCAAAAGACCACAUCGGUUAUUCGGGAACGAUAUUAGUUGAGAAAAAUUAAGUGAACACGUGUCACAUCAGGUCCAGAUAAGGUUGCCUAAUUUCAAAAGGCAGGUCUUCGUUCGAUUCACUAGGGCUUGGUACAUCAGGACCUUAUCUGGAGUGUAACGCACUGUCAAGCCCGAGCCCCGUCAGGUUUAUUGGCUCUGGACCUGAUAAAAACCUGAUCCGGUAUGACUGACAAUUACCUGACACCGUAUGCCAUAUUUCAACUCGAUGAAGGCCUGAUUCCUGACUAUUUUGGCCCUGAUGUGACAGCAGUUUCACCGUACUAAAUUUCUAGUCGGGUUUGUGUUCGUCGGCAUCGUGCUGGUGCUAUGACCAAAGUCUCUCAGGAGCGCAGCUUCGAGUCCCGGUGGUGAAGGAUUUUUUCAUCGGCGGAAAAUGAACCCAGUGCAUGUGGAGUUCGAUAUGUGUUAGCUUAAAGACAAGUGCGGGUAGAGAAUCAGGGGCGGGUACCGCGUAAAUACUGGGGUGAGUAGGUAAAAGACCACAACGGUCAUACCAUCCAGCACGACCCAAUGUUACUCCUCAGUUUCACUGAUUUCUAUUAUCGCCAACUCAUAAAAUAUAUUGUAUUGAACUAAGACCAUUAUUAUGGUUAUUAAAGAUGUUAUUUUAUAACAAACUUCCACUUUUUCCGCGACGUUAGCUUCGCUUGCUUCGAAUUGCAUUUUUCGGGCCCAAUAACUCCAAAUAGUGUACGUCAUACAACAAUAAAAAUCUCAUUGGAUUCCGGAAAUGAUAAAGCCACAUUUGUUAAAUGACACUUUUAUCACGUCAUUAUAUAAUUACCUAUUCCAAUAGAAAAGUAAACGCACUUAUCCAUGAUAUUUUUAUCAAUAUAAUUUGUUUUCAAAGCAUUGGCUACCAAAUUAAUAGAUACCACGACCAUUAAACCCAAAUGAUAGUUUGUAUUAACAGACGAUGCCAUUAGUUCAUCGAUGAACUGAUGAACCUCUCCACGGCAUGUGUUGCAAUCGUGCAAGCAUUCUAUCGGAAACUAUUUAAGCCGCUGUCACACGUCGUAGCUCAGUCUUUCCCUUCUUGAAAUAACAAGUUUCAGACCAUGAAGUCCAUUUUGGGAGUGACAAUAUUAUGUUGCAUUUUACUGUCAAAUUUCUGCAAUGCAAAACUGUUGCUAGUUCAAGUUCUAGCGCGUUAUACUGAGACAACUCCGAUGUCCACCGCGGACAUCAACGAGUUUUUUCCGGAAAUCAGUGAUUUCAACGUCUCAAUACCCGAGGGAUGGAACCACUUGACGAUGCAAGGAAGGAUAGAUGCGGUGGACUUAGGAUACGACUUUCGUUUCAAAUAUGAAUCUGUGUAUAGAAAUCAUACAACUUAUUACAGAGCAAUGAACGCACCAAACGCAAUAGAGACCGCUCGUCUAAUGGCAAUUGGAGCAUCCAUACGUUGUCUCCGUCACGAUCCACGUUGUCUUGAUACAACUAAUCAAACAAACUUGGACUCUAUGUUCAACUCGAUCUCUAAAGAUCGAAUGGAGUUCGAUGUGAAAAAGAUGAGGGAAGACAAGCUAUUCUUUAGCAACACAAUCUGUAAAAAUUAUGGCGAAGAAUUCUUCUCAGAGAUUAAAAGGCAAAGCAACGAGAUAGACGAUACAUUGUCUGAGCUUUAUGACGAUCUCUCAUACCACACAGGAGCGAAUUUCACCACGUGUGCUCACGCUUGGAUCCUGUAUCAGUAUCUUCAGGCGAAGGCGAGUGUUGGUCUUCCUCUGGAGAGUUGGACAGAAGAUAUAUUUCCCGAUGGAGCUUUGAAAAAUCUCACAAUUCAGAAGUUUCAAACCGAGUCCACAACGGAUCGGAUGAGGCGUCUGUUGGGAGGUUCCCUCCUCAGCACCUUCUUGAAGAAUAUCGAUGAUUACAAGAAGGGUUUGACAGACCACAGAUUGUUCGUGUACGUUGGUGACGAUUACCAUAUAGUUGGUCUUCUCAAUGCUCUAGGAAUGUACGACGGCGAGCAUAUUCCUAAUUAUGGCAGUUACGUCGAACUGCAGCUCCACGAACUCCCGGAUGAGAACAAACAGCCGAAAUUGUUUCUUGUGAUACGGUACAAAAGCGGAAGGGAUGAAUCGGCGUUUCCUCUUCUGAUGGAAAUUCCUGGGUGUUUCUUCCUCUGUUCGGUGGAACAAGUCACGAGCACUUUGCAGAACAAUAUACUUGAAGAUUUCGAUAAAGACUGUCGCUAUUAAAGAGGUCCUUGGUACAGUUCCGAAGUAAUAGCGCUGGAUGAUUACAGAGUAUUCAAUGAAUCGAAAAACAAUGACACGCAUCUGAUCAUUUUUAGCCAAUGUCUGCAGUCAACAGUCUAAGUGAAAUUAUGCUUCCAGUUCUGUUCGUUUUACAAAAUUUUCAAGUAGGAGAUUUUGCUGGGUCAGCUAUAGAUUUAUAAGACAUGUGUCAUUGUUGUACAAAUUUAUGAUAUUAAUAAAUGGUA
This is an RNA transcript of Diachasmimorpha longicaudata, 4271 nucleotides long. RefSeq lists it as uncharacterized. The record is from RefSeq and is a predicted model, not a curated record. The transcript has 6 exons. Lineage: Eukaryota; Metazoa; Arthropoda; Insecta; Hymenoptera; Braconidae.